Molecule: small RNA, 77 nt
Filed under: Xanthomonas campestris pv. badrii
Lineage: Bacteria; Pseudomonadati; Pseudomonadota; Gammaproteobacteria; Lysobacterales; Lysobacteraceae
Also listed under: 1 other name
Description: sX9 sRNA
Rfam family: Xanthomonas sRNA sX9
Source: RNAcentral
AUGCAUCACGCGCGCACUCCGGUGUCGAGUGCGCCGUCCACACCACCUGACGACCGCUCGCUACGGCUUGUCCAGCC